CAUGCAGGCGGUUUCUUAAGUCGGAUGUUAAAGACCACCGCUCACCGGUGGAAGUGCGUUCGAUACUGAGAGACUGGAGUCCAUCAGAGGCAAGCGGAAUUCCGGGUGUAGCGGUGAAAUGCGUAGAUAUCCGGAGGAACACCAGUGGCGAAGGCGGCUUCCUGGCCGGAUACUGACGCUCAAGUGCGAAAGCUGGGGGAGCAAACA
Molecule: ribosomal RNA, 207 nt
Filed under: uncultured bacterium
Lineage: Bacteria
Description: partial 16S ribosomal RNA
Rfam family: Bacterial small subunit ribosomal RNA
Source: RNAcentral